UGGUGGAGCGAUUUGUCUGGUUAAUUCCGAUAACGAACGAGACUCUGGCCUAUUAAAUAGUUCGCCGAUUCCGAUCUGUCGGCGUUAACUUCUUAGAUGGACAAGUGGCUUUUAGCCACGCGAGAUUGAGCAAUAACA
RNAcentral lists this ribosomal RNA (138 nucleotides) under uncultured eukaryote. RNAcentral's name for it is "partial 18S ribosomal RNA". It matches the Rfam family "Eukaryotic small subunit ribosomal RNA", at positions 1299 to 1458 of the family's 1831-position model. The record is from RNAcentral.